GUGCCAGCCGCCGCGGUAAUACGUAGGGUGCAAGCGUUAAUCGGAAUUACUGGGCGUAAAGCGUGCGCAGGCGGUUUUGUAAGACAGAGGUGUAAUCCCCGGGCUCAACCUUGGAACUGCCUUUGUGACUGCAAGGCUGGAGUGCGGCAGAGGGGGAUGGAAUUCCGCGUGUAGCAGUGAAAUGCGUAGAUAUGCGGAGGAACACCGAUGGCGAAGGCAAUCCCCUGGGCCUGCACUGACGCUCAUGCACGAAAGCGUGGGGAGCAAACAGGAUUAGAUACCCUGGUAGUCCACGCCCUAAACGAGGUCAAUUGGUUGUUGGGAAUUUACUUUCUCAGUAACGAAGCUAACGCGUGAAGUUGACCGCCUGGGGAGUACGGCCGCAAGGUUAAAACUCAAAGAAAUUGACGG
This 411-nucleotide ribosomal RNA is filed under the name uncultured bacterium. RNAcentral describes it as "bacterial SSU rRNA". It matches the Rfam family "Bacterial small subunit ribosomal RNA", at positions 505 to 916 of the family's 1533-position model. The record is from RNAcentral.